AAGAGAAAAAAAAUCCCUUGUAGAUUUCAAAGAGAAAGAGUUUUAUGUGAAAAAUGUUCUUAGGAUCUUUUUGGUGAGAGAUGUGAGUUGGGUUUGAGAUUGGGAAAUGAUUGUGUAACUUGUAUGUUUUGGAAAAGGGUAGAACAAUGGAGAUUGAGUAUUAUAUGCAUGAGUUGAUCCUUUUCUUAGAUAUAUUAUGUGCAAUGUCAAGGCUACUU
Molecule: long non-coding RNA, 218 nt
Filed under: Brassica napus (rape)
Lineage: Eukaryota; Viridiplantae; Streptophyta; Magnoliopsida; Brassicales; Brassicaceae
Description: long non-coding RNA (BNAP_LNC023562)
Source: RNAcentral